RNAcentral lists this ribosomal RNA (477 nucleotides) under uncultured anaerobic ammonium-oxidizing bacterium. RNAcentral describes it as "bacterial SSU rRNA". It matches the Rfam family "Bacterial small subunit ribosomal RNA", at positions 365 to 832 of the family's 1533-position model. The record is from RNAcentral.
UUCGCAAUGCCCGAAAGGGUGACGAUGCGACGCCGCGUGCGGGAAGAAGGCCUUCGGGUUGUAAACCGCUGUCGGGAGUUAAGAAAUGUAAGGAUGUUAAUAGCAUCUUUGCUUGACUAAGGCUCCGGAGGAAGCCACGGCUAACUCUGUGCCAGCAGCCGCGGUAAUACAGAGGCGGCAAGCGUUGUUCGGAAUUAUUGGGCGUAAAGAGCACGUAGGCGGCUAUGUAAGUCGGUUGUGAAAGCCUUCCGCUCAACGGGAGAACAGCAUCCGAUACUGCAUGGCUUGAGUGCGGGAGGGGAGAGUGGAACUUCUGGUGGAGCGGUGAAAUGCGUAGAUAUCAGAAGGAACGCCGGCGGCGAAAGCGGCUCUCUGGCCCAUAACUGACGCUGAGUGUGCGAAAGCUAGGGGAGCAAACGGGAUUAGAUACCCCGGUGGUCCUAGCUGUAAACGAUGGGCACUAAGUAGAGGGGUUUU